Pteropus alecto (black flying fox) is the source of this 202-nucleotide long non-coding RNA. RefSeq lists it as uncharacterized. The record is from RefSeq and is a predicted model, not a curated record. Lineage: Eukaryota; Metazoa; Chordata; Mammalia; Chiroptera; Pteropodidae. The transcript is spliced from 2 exons.
AAGGUUGCUCUUUUUCUCUGCUCCCUCUCCACUGUCAAUGUGCUGAUGGACAGAUGAGAUUAAAUGGCAUCCUCCUGACUCUCCAUCUCUGCCUGGAUAUGGUGACAACUGUGCUGCUAUUAACACCUUAUUCUUGCAAUAUCAUUUUUGUAAAUAGUUUUCUGUAAAUAGUUUUUUCAAAUAAACAGUUUCUGUAAAAUAA